AGUUUUGAUUGCGCUGCACCCAGGCCAUUACCUUUGGGUGUGCGCUUGGUGUGCAGCAAUCAUUCUUCCGGAAAGCUAUUCUCUCCUUCACUGGGUGGAUGUGUGAACCGGUUCUUUUACUGUGAGACAAUCAGAGUGUUUCAAGCAGGCAUUAUGCCUGAAUGUUUCAGCAUGGAAUAAUAAGAUAAGAUUUUGGUUUUUUCUUGUUGGCUAUGUAAAUCAAAGUAAUGACUAAUAGAGAUAAUUGGGGGUGUUAGAAUUUAGUGGUCAGCGGUGAAAUGCGUAGACCCAUUAAAGACUAACUUAUGCGAAAGCAUU
Molecule: ribosomal RNA, 318 nt
Filed under: uncultured Thalassomyxa
Lineage: Eukaryota; Endomyxa; Vampyrellida
Description: SSU rRNA
Rfam family: Eukaryotic small subunit ribosomal RNA (bases 60-318)
Source: RNAcentral